GGCGGCGUAGCCAAGUGGUAAGGCAUCGGAUUGCAAAUCCGUGAUCCCCAGUUCGAAUCUGGGUGCCGCCU
This 71-nucleotide transfer RNA is filed under the name Koliella longiseta. Its description in RNAcentral is "tRNA-Cys". It matches the Rfam family "tRNA". From Rfam's summary of the family: Transfer RNA (tRNA) molecules are approximately 80 nucleotides in length. Their secondary structure includes four short double-helical elements and three loops (D, anti-codon, and T loops). Further hydrogen bonds mediate the characteristic L-shaped molecular structure. tRNAs have two regions of fundamental functional importance: the anti-codon, which is responsible for specific mRNA codon recognition, and the 3' end, to which the tRNAs corresponding amino acid is attached (by aminoacyl-tRNA synthetases). tRNAs cope with the degeneracy of the genetic code in two manners: having more than one tRNA (with a specific anti-codon) for a particular amino acid; and 'wobble' base-pairing, i.e. permitting non-standard base-pairing at the 3rd anti-codon position. The record is from RNAcentral. Lineage: Eukaryota; Viridiplantae; Chlorophyta; Trebouxiophyceae; Prasiolales; Koliellaceae.